Molecule: long non-coding RNA, 725 nt
Organism: Leucoraja erinaceus (little skate)
Lineage: Eukaryota; Metazoa; Chordata; Chondrichthyes; Rajiformes; Rajidae
Exons: 3
Source: RefSeq, a predicted model, not a curated record
AGCACCGCUGUACUGUACUUCCUGUGAGUGAGGAGCAAACGAGAGGGUGUGGGUCGAGACCAGCAAAGUAAGCGGACAACUUUCAGACAACUGAAUCCCUUCCUAGGUCCCCCUUCCAGCUUAAUGUUUCCGAAUCAUCUCGGUUUACUGUGAUUUCCUGCACGUCCACACAUGGCAACUCUUCGCUGGAGGGUGGAUAUUCGAGUUUUCAAUCUAAUCCUGUUAAUCCCGUGUGAUCCGCCGACGAGGGACGCAAUGCUGUUCGGUGGAACAUCAUCUUGUUAAUUUCUGCUGGGUUUGGCUCGCUCGCUGGAGACACACUAGGGCUACUUCCACAGAUGCCAAUUAACCUGAGAACCCGCACGGGAUCUUUGUUUGGGAUGUGGGAGGAAACGGGAGCAUCCGGAGGAGACCCACACGGUCACAGGGAGAACGUGCAAACUCCACACAGACAGCAGCCCAGGUUAGGAUCGAACACGGGUCUCUGGCGCUGUGAGGCAUGGCACCAAACAUAAACCACAUGUCUACUACAGGAUAUACAGUAUAUACAGCUGAAUGGUGCCACGAGAGACUGCAUAUAUCCAGAUGACGUGCCUGAGGCCUGACAUCUACUCGUGUCUCAUGUAGGAGACACAGCAGCUGGUGUAAUUUUAUGAGGUUUUCAGUCCGUCAACUCCUUUCCUGAACUCUUCUUUAUCAGUCUGCAUUAAAAAAAUGUAGAGCUA